This 381-nucleotide ribosomal RNA is filed under the name uncultured bacterium. RNAcentral's name for it is "bacterial SSU rRNA". It matches the Rfam family "Bacterial small subunit ribosomal RNA", at positions 28 to 410 of the family's 1533-position model. The record is from RNAcentral.
GACGAACGCUGGCGGCGUGCUUAACACAUGCAAGUCGAGCGGUAAGGCCCUUUCGGGGUACACGAGCGGCGAACGGGUGAGUAACACGUGGGUGACCUGCCCUCAGCUCUGGGAUAAGCCCGGGAAACUGGGUCUAAUACUGGAUAUGACUCCAUGACGCAUGUUGUGGGUGGAAAGCCUUGUGCGGCUGGGGAUGGGCCCGCGGCCUAUCAGCUUGUUGGUGGGGUGAUGGCCUACCAAGGCGACGACGGGUAGCCGGCCUGAGAGGCGACCGGCCACACUGGGACUGAGACAACGGCCCAGACUCCUACGGGAGGCAAGCAGUGGGGAAUCUUGCGCAAAUGGGCGAAAGCCUGACGCAGCGACGCCGCGUGAGGGAUG